Molecule: ribosomal RNA, 199 nt
Filed under: uncultured bacterium
Lineage: Bacteria
Description: partial 16S ribosomal RNA
Rfam family: Bacterial small subunit ribosomal RNA
Source: RNAcentral
ACGCUCGACACCUACUGGAGGCAGCAGUGGGGAAUAUUGCACAAUGGAGGAAACUCUGAUGCAGCGACGCCGCGUGAGCGAAGAAGUAUUUCGGUAUGUAAAGCUCUAUCAGCAGGGAAGAAAAAGGACGGUACCUGACUAAGAAGCUCCGGCUAAAUACGUGCCAGCAGCCGCGGUAAUCUGAGCGGGCUGGCAAGGC